AUGGAGUUCCUUAGCAGGAUUUUAUUUUUCAAACAAACAAAUUUAAAAAAUUUAAUUUUUUUAAUUGAAACGUUAUUUUUUAGAAAAAAAUAUUCUGAGUUGUUAUAUUUGUUACAAAUUUAUAAAAAGUUAUGGUGUUUUUCGUCCAAAAAAAUAGUGGCAAAAAAAGGGAACACCAUAGAUAUUCCGAGUGAUAAUUUUGUUUGGGAAAAAAGAAAAAAAAAAAAAAAAAAAACUACCAAAGACAAUACUUGUUGCGGCAUAACAAAUGUAAAAAAUAGAACAUACAUUUGUAACAUUAAACGUGAAGUAAUGCAUAAACAACCAGAAUUAAUAAAACAAAAAAGAAAAAAAUGCUAUAAAAUAUUUUGUAUAAAUUAUUUAGCUUUUAUAAAAAUAUCAGCACUAUUAAAUAUGAAAAAUAACAAGUGCUUAAACAAAGGAGUAAAAUUUGUUAAAAAAAUAAGUAACAAAUCAUUUUUAAAUAAUAAUUGUGUUUAUUUAUUACAUGUAAUUAUACAAUUGUUUGAAUUAAAAGGUUUAUAUGCACAAUCCUUAAAAUAUUCUACUUUAUUAUUUUUACAGUGUCCUGCUAACCCACAAUUAAUUAUAAAAUUAUUUAGCUUUUCAUUACUAUCUUUAAAAAAAGAAAUUUCUUUAAUUUUGUUAGCUAAUUAUCACAAAAAAAUUGAAUGGUUAAAAUAUUUUUUUGUUUUUAUUUUAUUCUCAGUGAAUUUACAAUUUCAAAAUAAAAACUUAUGUGAUUAUUUUAUUUUCCUCAUUCAAAAUGUUACAAAAUGUACUACGAAUAAAAAAAAUAGAAUAAAAAAAUAUGAUGUAAAUAAUACUAUUAUUAAGCAAUACGACACAUAUUUUAACAUAGAAGAUGCACCACAAUGUAAAACAUUCAUACAGGACACUAAACAUAUGCAAAAAAAAAAAAAUUCGGACAAAAAAAACAGAAAUAAUUCUAUAAAUCAAAUAUGUAAUGGAAGAAGUAGAGGAUUAACUUUGAAACAGAUUGAUAUAAUGGAAAGGGAAGAUAAGGUCGAGCUAGCCAAUGCACAUGAAAUGAAUGUAGUGGACAAAACGGAUGACCUAAAUAAAACAUUAUUACUACAUUUCAAACAAGUAGAACGAUCUAUACAGAUAUAUAAGUAUAUAGUCGAUUCUUAUCAAAAUGUCUUUUCAGAUUUAUAUUUUUAUUCUUUGUUUAAUUUAAUAUAUUCCUUACAAUUAACAAAUAAAGCUCAUCAAAUUAUUAUCCUUUGUAAAAAUAUGAACCAACUAUUUUUUAAUAAUAUACAUACUUAUAUAUUAUUGUCGUAUUAUUAUUUUGUUACUAAUAUAUCUUUUAAGUCAUACACUGUUCUCAUAAAGGCUUAUUACAUAUAUAAUAAUUAUCCAGAUGUAUAUUACAUGCUUUCUUUGUUGGCACUAAAAACUAAAAAGUACAAAGAAUAUGUUACUUUCAGCGAACUAACUCUUUUUUUUAGUUUUAAAAAUCAAAUAAUUAGGAAUUAUAUUUUUACAAAAAUAUAUGAUAAUCAAUAUAAGUAUAUACCAUCUUAUUUGUUGUAUUCUAAUUUUAAAAAAAAUAUUACAAACGACAUUGUGAAUAUAGAGUGUACACAUAUAUAUAAUUAUUUAUGUUACACCUAUGUUAAACAUUUAAUACAAUCAUACAUAAUUUUUUUUUAUUUUUAUAGUAAUAGACAUAAACCGAAUUAUCUUAUUUUAGGUGAAAAUUUGUGUAAUAUAGCGCUAAAAUUUUUUUCUGAAGACUUGAAACUUGUACACAGUAAUAAAAUAAAAAAUAGAAAAAUAGAUAAAUAAGAUUUGUUAUUGUUAUUUACGAUGUAGUUAUAUAUGUCUCAUUAUUUUUCUCUUUUUAUCCUUUUCUCUUUUCUUUUUUAUUUAUUUUUUUUUUUAUUUAUUUUUUUUUUUUAUUUAUUUUUUGUUUUUCUUAUAAAUAUGCAGUUUUAAGGUAUAUUCAAAUCAUUAAAAAGUAUAGCAAUAAUGGAAAACUACUUUAUAUUAGCAAUACUCCACAUAAUAUAAAGUAGAAACGGUAUUUUCCAUUUUUAUCCAAGUUGGAAAUUUUAUUUUUUAAUACAUAACAUAUAUGUAUGUGUAGUUCUUUUUUUUUUUCACAUAAUUUUAUAUUUUUAUUGUUUAAAUUUUCAUCACAUUUUUUUUUUGGCGUUUUAAUAUUUGUUAUAGUGCUAUAAAACACUAUAAUAAAGGUACACAUCAAUACGUUCA
Long non-coding RNA from Piliocolobus tephrosceles (Ugandan red Colobus), 2265 nucleotides. The record is from Ensembl. Lineage: Eukaryota; Metazoa; Chordata; Mammalia; Primates; Cercopithecidae.